Molecule: non-coding RNA, 28 nt
Filed under: Homo sapiens (human)
Lineage: Eukaryota; Metazoa; Chordata; Mammalia; Primates; Hominidae
Source: RNAcentral
UUAGUAGAAAUGGUAUCACUCGGGGCAU